GAGUUUGAUCGUGGCUCAGAACGAACGCUGGCGGCAGGCUUAACACAUGCAAGUUGAACGCGUGUAGCAAUACACGAGUGGCGCACGGGUGAGUAACGCGUGGGAAUAUGCCCUUCAGUACGGAAUAACGUCGGGAAACUGACGCUAAUACCGUAUAAUGUCUACGGACCAAAGAUUUAUCGCUGAAGGAUUAGCCCGCGUUGGAUUAGCUAGUUGGUGAGGUAACGGCUCACCAAGGCGAUGAUCCAUAGCUGGUCUGAGAGGAUGAUCAGCCACACUGGGACUGAGACACGGCCCAGACUCCUACGGGAGGCAGCAGUGAGGAAUAUUGGACAAUGGGGGCAACCCUGAUCCAGCCAUGCCGCGUGAGUGAUGAAGGCCCUCGGGUUGUAAAGCUCUUUUAUCCCUGAAGAUAAUGACGGUAAGGGAAGAAAAAGCCACGGCUAACUUCGUGCCAGCCGCCGCCGUAAC
RNAcentral lists this ribosomal RNA (471 nucleotides) under uncultured Alphaproteobacteria bacterium. RNAcentral's name for it is "bacterial SSU rRNA". It matches the Rfam family "Bacterial small subunit ribosomal RNA", at positions 9 to 524 of the family's 1533-position model. The record is from RNAcentral. Lineage: Bacteria; Pseudomonadati; Pseudomonadota; Alphaproteobacteria.